CGACGGACGAACGCUGGCGGCGCGCCUAACACAUGCAAGUCGAACGGGCUUCGAGAUCUUCGGAAAUUGAAGCUAGUGGCGGACGGGUGAGUAACACGUGAGUAACCUGCCCUACAGAGCGGAAUACCGUACUGGAAACGGACGUUAAUACCGCAUAACAUAUAGCGGUCACAUGGCUGGUAUAUCAAAGAUUUAUCGCUGUAGGAUGGACUCGCGCCUGAUUAGAUAGUUGGUGAGGUAACGGCCCACCCAAGUCGACGAUCAGUAGCCGGACUGAGAGGUUGAUCGGCCACAUUGGGACUGAGACACGGCCCAGACUCCUACGGGAGGCAGCAGUGGGGGAUAUUGCACAAUGGACGAAAAAGUCUGAUGCAGCGACGCCGCGUGAGGGAAGACGGUUUUCGGAUUGUAAACCUCUGUCUUCGGGGACGAAAAUGACGGUACCCGAGGAGGAAGCCACGGCUAACUACGUGCCAGCAGCAGC
Molecule: ribosomal RNA, 484 nt
Filed under: uncultured bacterium
Lineage: Bacteria
Description: bacterial SSU rRNA
Rfam family: Bacterial small subunit ribosomal RNA
Source: RNAcentral